RNAcentral lists this long non-coding RNA (206 nucleotides) under Gossypium barbadense (sea-island cotton). RNAcentral's name for it is "long non-coding RNA (GBAR_LNC009000)". The record is from RNAcentral. Lineage: Eukaryota; Viridiplantae; Streptophyta; Magnoliopsida; Malvales; Malvaceae.
AGCUAGAAGGAAGGAACAGAAGGCGAAAAAGGGAUGUGUCGAUUGGGAGGGUAAACAGGGUAUAAAACUUGAAGCAGCACCUAAACUGAGCUAAAGACAGGGAUUAGAAAUCGGUGGAUUUCACCGAUUAGGUCAGUAAUGGUUUAGCCCCGUAAUAGCAAUACAUUGAACCAAACAAAGGAUUAGAGGCGUAAUAAGUGGGGCCC